AUUGAACGCUGGCGGCAGGCCUAACACAUGCAAGUCGAACGGUAACAGGAAGAAGCUUGCUUCUUUGCUGACGAGUGGCGGACGGGUGAGUAAUGUCUGGGAAACUGCCUGAUGGAGGGGGAUAACUACUGGAAACGGUAGCUAAUACCGCAUAACGUCGCAAGACCAAAGAGGGGUACCUUCGGGCCUCUUGCCAUCGGAUGUGCCCAGAUGGGAUUAGCUAGUAGGUGGGGUAACGGCUCACCUAGGCGACGAUCCCUAGCUGGUCUGAGAGGAUGACCAGCCACACUGGAACUGAGACACGGUCCAGACUCCUACGGGAGGCAGCAGUGGGGAAUAUUACACAAUGGGCGCAAGCCUGAUGCAGCCAUGCCGCGUGUAUGAAGAAGGCCUUCGGGUUGUAAAGUACUUUCAGCGGGGAGGAAGGGAGUAAAGUUAAUACCUUUGCUCAUUGACGUUACCCGCAGAAGAAGCACCGGCUAACUCCGUG
This 490-nucleotide ribosomal RNA is filed under the name uncultured bacterium. RNAcentral describes it as "partial 16S ribosomal RNA". It matches the Rfam family "Bacterial small subunit ribosomal RNA", at positions 30 to 507 of the family's 1533-position model. The record is from RNAcentral.